AAACUUCGCAAUGUGCGCAAGCACGACGAGGGAAUCCUAAGUGCCUAUGCUUUGCAUAGGCUGUUCUCCUGUCUAAAAAACAGGGGGAAUAAGGGCUGGGUAAGACGGGUGCCAGCCGCCGCGGUAAUACCAGCGCCACGAGUGGUGAUCAUUUUUAUUGGGCCUAAAGCGUUCGUAGCCGGUCUGAUAAAUCUUCUGUGAAAUUGUCAAGCGUCCAAGAGAUACUGGUAGGCUUGGGACCGGG
This 244-nucleotide ribosomal RNA is filed under the name uncultured archaeon. RNAcentral describes it as "partial 16S ribosomal RNA". It matches the Rfam family "Archaeal small subunit ribosomal RNA", at positions 345 to 603 of the family's 1478-position model. The record is from RNAcentral.